AACGAACGCUGGCGGCAGGCCUAACACAUGCAAGUCGAACGCCCGUAGCAAUACGGGAGUGGCAGACGGGUGAGUAACGCGUGGGAACGUGCCCUUCGGUUCGGAAUAACUCAGGGAAACUUGAGCUAAUACCGGAUACGUCCGUAAGGAGAAAGAUUUAUCGCCGAAGGAUCGGCCCGCGUCGGAUUAGCUAGUUGGUGAGGUAACGGCCCACCAAGGCGACGAUCCGUAGCUGGUCUGAGAGGANGAUCAGCCACACUGGGACGUGAGACACCGGCCCAGACUCCUACGGGAGGCAGCAGUGGGGAAGUCUUGGACAAUGGGCGGCAAGCCUGAUCCAGCCAUGCCGCGUGGGU
RNAcentral lists this ribosomal RNA (356 nucleotides) under uncultured bacterium. RNAcentral describes it as "bacterial SSU rRNA". It matches the Rfam family "Bacterial small subunit ribosomal RNA", at positions 29 to 406 of the family's 1533-position model. The record is from RNAcentral.